UUGUCCGAUCAGCAUUAUUUUGGCUAGUGCU
RNAcentral lists this non-coding RNA (31 nucleotides) under Mus musculus (house mouse). The record is from RNAcentral. Lineage: Eukaryota; Metazoa; Chordata; Mammalia; Rodentia; Muridae.